RNAcentral lists this transfer RNA (2241 nucleotides) under Paramuricea clavata. The record is from RNAcentral. Lineage: Eukaryota; Metazoa; Cnidaria; Anthozoa; Malacalcyonacea; Plexauridae.
AUUUUUGGCAUUGACUAUAGCCCUAUGAUUCCCUUGACUCCAGAGCGAGACUGAAACUCGCAUUGGUGACAGCGAGAUGGAAAAUAGAUUAUAUAAUAACUACAGUGAAACACGCAAUUUGAUUGGUCAAUAGCUGCGGCUCGAGUAUUUUUACGCUGUUUCCGAAAGUCUUGCGACAUCCCUCGUGCAUGGAUCACGCAAUCCUGCACGGAAAACCAUUCGGUAUUCCUUUAUUCCGUUCAUUACUAAUUUAUUUAUUAAUGUUGCCCAUACAUACACAAAUCUUGAACUGUCUAAUUUACCAGUGUAGUUAGUGCCAAUAAAAUGAACAAUAUGCCUGACCACGGUGGGAAUCGAACCUACGACCUUUGGAAUACUAGCCCAAUGCUCUGCCAACUGAGCUACGCGGUCAGGUCGGUUCGAGUAUGUGAUAUUUCGGAACUGAGUCUAGUUCCUUCGAUAUCAAAUGCAAUCUAGUAAUCAUGAUUUUUUUCUGUGUUGGUGUAAUGUACUCAGGUGCGAGCUCAGGUGAAUAUGAUGCUUGUGAUGUUACUCUGAGUAUAUAUCCACUCAGAGUAACAUUUCAAGCAUCAUAUUCACCUGAGUACAUUACACCAACACAGAAAAAAAAUGAACAAGCUUUCGUUGGUAGGGAUACAACUACCUGAAAAUAUUCGAGGAGAAUUUCGACGUCGAAAUUCUCCUUAUAUUUUCAGGUAGUAAUUGCAUCCCUGCCAACGAAAGCUUGUUCAUAUACAUACAUAUUAUUUUAUAAAACAUAAGUAUAUAGAGUUACAAGAAUAGGGCUAGGGAUCUACUAAAAACCAUAGAAGGCUUUGAUUAUAAGACCCCUGUAGUUUACGUAUGAAUCGGAACUUAAGGUAUAUAGUAUAGUGUGUUUUGUUGAUGUGAAUCAUAGGCCUACUAACUGUUAUCUUCGUCAGUCUAUAACUAACAACUGUUUUUGGAAGUUUACCUUGUUGGGUAUAUGUACCUGUUGUAAACUUGCCUCGUUGUACAUGUAAUAUAUAUAUUUUGUACAAUGAAAGCUUAAAAUAAAAUAAAAUAAAAAUAAAAUAGUUCGAAAAAAGAAGAUAGGAGUAAGUUGUUAAGUUUUGUUAUACGAUAUUUCGAAUCAUGACGAAGAUAUAUACAAUAGGAAAGGAAAGUUAAAAGAGAAAUAAUAGAAGAUUUAUUGAAAAGUGGGAAGAAUGUUUAAAAGUUCCGGUAUUAUAAAAGGAACAAUUUUGACUGGUUGACUAUUAUCCAUGGAGCCGCAUAAGUCGAUCUUUCGCCUUGAUUUCCUCAAUCCUUGAGUCCACAACAUAAUCUGAAUUAUAAAAUACAACGGCUUAUGACACCUGUUUCAAAGGUACCGCUAACAACAGGUCAUGCCAUGUUUGAAGCAGAUUAGAACGGCCAGCGAUCGGGGGUCCAUUUAUAGUUCAAUGUUGCUAAAAUUAAUUAUUUACAUUGCGGGCAGAUAAUCAUAGAGAUUUCCAUUUGCAAACAUGCAAAGCGCAGCUUAUCUUGCGAAAUAAGCUUAGACUGCGUUGCGCAAAUAAACUAACGCGUUUAAAAAACAUUUAGUAUAAACAUGAUGUUGACAUAAAUCGCGCACGUAUUAACAUAAAUCACGGUGUUUCCGCACAUUAAUAUAAGUCGCAGUAUUCAUAUUAACAUAAAUCGCGAUAUACAUCUUUUCCUAUUUGCAUGAACUGCGAUCAAUCUCUGUAUAUUAACAUAAAUCGCGCUUUUCCUCCUCACAUUUACAUGCACAAAUCCCGCUAUCUCCCCAAAUUACAUAAAUCCACGCAUGUGUUUCCGUAGAGAAAAUAGACUUCUCUGCAUGGUUUGUUCGAUCUUUCUUGGUAAAAUUUUCGUUGAACGUUUUCGUUUCAUAUUUUCUUUCUUGUGCCAAAAGAAUAUCAUGCAUUGCAGUUUUAAAACAGCAAGUUCAUUUACUCUUUAUUGCCUGAUACCGUAAAAUUUUGGCGUUUGAAGCGCGCGCGCGCUCCAGUGUGAUGACUGGUGUAUCACAAGAUUCCAAUCUGACCAAGAUUCCAAUCCAACUGUACACAAACUAUUUCAAAUUAGAAUUACCUUAAGAACUGAAAGAGUUAUCCAUUAUACAAAAUAACAGUAACUCAAAUCUCCGUGCCACCGAUCCUGUAAUUAUUAUCCAUUAUACAUAGUUAAUUUAGUUUGGGUUUCCUCCUGUAAACCCAAAGCCCAGCACAG